This is a long non-coding RNA of Erinaceus europaeus (western European hedgehog), 643 nucleotides long. RefSeq lists it as uncharacterized. Lineage: Eukaryota; Metazoa; Chordata; Mammalia; Eulipotyphla; Erinaceidae. The transcript has 3 exons. The record is from RefSeq and is a predicted model, not a curated record.
GGGGCCCGCGGGGGCCGGCUCACCCGAAGUCGUCGUCCAUGGACUUGAAGAAGAACUUGUAGCUGGGGCGCUGCAGCACGCCCUUGAAGUCGGCCAGGGUGACGCGCUCGGCGGGCAGCGGCAGCUUCACCAGGACAGAGAGAAAUCGAGAGAGGAGGGGGAGAGAAAGAUAGACACCUGCAGACCUGCUUGACCGCCUGUGAAGCGACUCCCCUGCUGGUGGGGAACCAGGAUCCUUGCACUGGUCCUUUGCACCAUGUGCGCUACCACCCGGCCUGAACACCAAGUUGCAAAUGCUACCUUGACACCAACCUGACUCCCCUGGGCAGUCAACCCCACCGUGUCCUAGAACCCCAUUUCUCCAGAGCCUUGCCCCACUACGGAAUGAGAGACAGGCUGGGAGUAUGGAUCCGCCUGCCAAUGCUCAUGUUCAGUGGGGAAACAAUUACAGAAGCCAGACCUCCCACCUUCUGCACCUCAUAAUGACCCUGGGUCCAUACUCCCAGAGGGAUAAAGAAUAGGAAAGCUAUCGGGGGAGGGGAUGGAUAGGGAGUUCUGGUGGUGGGAAAUGUGUGGGAUUUUACCCCUCUUACCCUAUGGUUUUGUCAAUAUUUUCUAUUUUAUAAAUAAAAUUUUAAAAAAU